Molecule: ribosomal RNA, 397 nt
Filed under: uncultured bacterium
Lineage: Bacteria
Description: partial 16S ribosomal RNA
Rfam family: Bacterial small subunit ribosomal RNA
Source: RNAcentral
CCUACGGGAGGCAGCAGUGAGGAAUAUUGGUCAAUGGGCGGGAGCCUGAACCAGCCAAGUCGCGUGAGGGAAGACGGUCCUAUGGAUUGUAAACCUCUUUAGGCGGGGAGCAAUGCCGGGCACGCGUGCCCGAAGGGAGAGUACCCGCAGAAUAAGCAUCGGCUAACUCCGUGCCAGCAGCCGCGGUAAUACGGGGGAUGCGAGCGUUAUCCGGAUUUGUUGGGUUGAAAGGGUGGGUGGGGGGAUUUUUAAGUCAGCGGUAAAAUGUACGGGUCCAACCCGGGCCGGCCGUUGAAACUGGGGAUCUUGAGUGGGCGAGAAGUAUGCGGAAUGCGUGGUGUAGCGGUGAAAUGCAUAGAUAUCACGAAGAACUCCGAUUGCGAAGGCAGCAUACUGG